RNAcentral lists this ribosomal RNA (988 nucleotides) under Apsona muscaria. RNAcentral's name for it is "eukaryotic LSU rRNA". It matches the Rfam family "Eukaryotic large subunit ribosomal RNA", at positions 987 to 1883 of the family's 3401-position model. Lineage: Eukaryota; Metazoa; Arthropoda; Insecta; Diptera; Acroceridae. The record is from RNAcentral.
AUAUAUUAUAUAAAAUAAUCUUAUCUGGUAAAGCGAAUGAUUAGAGGCAUUAGGGUCGAAACGAUCUUAACCUAUUCUCAAACUUUAAAUGGGUAAGAACCUUAUCUUUCUUGAUAUGAAGAUAUAGGUUAUGAUAUAUUGUGCCCAGUGGGCCACUUUUGGUAAGCAGAACUGGCGCUGUGGGAUGAACCAAACGUAAUGUUAAGGCGCCUAAAUUAACAACUCAUACUGAUACCAUGAAAGGCGUUGCUUGCUUAAAACAGUAGGGCGGUGGACAUGGAAGUCGUAAUCCGCUAAGGAGUGUGUAACAACUCACCUGCCGAAGCAACUAGCCCUUAAAAUGGAUGGCGCUCAAGUUGUAUGCCUAUACAUUACCGCUAAAAUAUAUGAUUUAUAAUUUUUAUAAUUAUAAAUUUUGAAAUUUUAGUGAGUAGGAGGGUACAAUGGUGUGCGUAGAAGUGUUUGGCGUAAGCCUGCAUGGAGCCGCCAUUGGCACAGAUCUUGGUGGUAGUAGCAAAUAAUCGAAUGAGACCUUGGAGGACUGAAGUGGAGAAGGGUUUCGUGUGAACAGUGGUUGAUCACGAGUUAGUCGGUCCUAAGUUCAAGGCGAAAGCCGAAAAAUGUUAAAGUAUAUUAUAGAAAUAUAAUACUUUAUAUUUUUAAUGAACGAAAGGGAAUACGGUUCCAAUUCCGUAACCUGUUGAGUAUACGUUUGUAAUUAAAACUGGGCUUUAAUGCUCAUCCUGGUAACAGUAACAACCAUAAAGAAGCCGUCGAGAGAUAUCGAAAGAGUUUUCUUUUCUGUUUUAUAGUCGUAUUACCAUGGAAAUCUUUCGAAGAGAGAUAUGGUAAAUGGACUAGAAGAGCAUGGCAUUUACUGCUGUGUCGAUAUUUUCUCCUCGGACCUUGAAAAUUUAUGGUAGGGUCACGCAAAUUUCUUAACAGGCCGUACCGAUAUCCGCAGCUGGUCUCCAAGGUGAAGAGUCUC